GACGAACGCUGGCGGCGUGCUUAACACAUGCAAGUCGAACGGAAAGGCCUUUUCGGAGGUACUCGAGUGGCGAACGGGUGAGUAACACGUGGGUGAUCUGCCCUGCACUCUGGGAUAAGCCUGGGAAACUGGGUCUAAUACCGGAUAGGACCGCACUUUAGUGUGUGUGGUGGAAAGUUUUUUCGGUGUAGGUUGAGCCCGCGGCCUAUCAGCUUGUUGGUGGGGUAAUGGCCUACCAAGGCGGCGACGGGUAGCCGGACUGAGAGGUUGGUCGGCCACAUUGGGACUGAGAUACGGCCCAGACUCCUACGGGAGGCAGCAGUGGGGAAUAUUGCACGAUGGGCGCAAGCCUGAUGCAGCGACGCCGCGUGGGGGAUGACGGCCUUCGGGUUGUAAACUCCUUUCGCCAGGGACGAAGCGUUUUGUGACGGUACCUGGAGAAGAAGCACCGGCUAACUACGUG
RNAcentral lists this ribosomal RNA (463 nucleotides) under uncultured bacterium. RNAcentral describes it as "partial 16S ribosomal RNA". It matches the Rfam family "Bacterial small subunit ribosomal RNA", at positions 28 to 507 of the family's 1533-position model. The record is from RNAcentral.